UUUAGAUAAAAACCAGUGUUUAACUGUUUAUUUUUAAGAUAUUAAUGCAAAAGAUAUCUAAUGCAGACACAUUGACUAUUUGCUAGAAUUACGAAAAAAUUAUUUUUAUUUUUCGCAUAUAAAUGAGAAAAUAGACCUAAAAUUUCGUGCUCUCUAAUGUUGUACGCAGCAAAAGAACCGUAGAUAUUCAUAGGAGACUGAAGAAGUACGCAGCAAAAGAACCGUAGAUAUUCAUAGGAGACUGAAGAAGAACGGGUAUGUCAGAAAAAAAAAGGAAAAAAGGAAAGAAAAAAAAAAACAUUUUCGUACAUGUCUCGCGGCGGGCGAAACAGUGGAAUUUCAUAACAGAAGACCUCAUUACAUAAGGGGAUUUUUCUUUAUCAAAACGUUACAUAUAACAAAAGUGGAAAAAAAAAAUGUAGAAAAUUAUAAGAAAAAAAAAACUUUUUUCAUGUCCGGAUCGUACAACCCCGUUGAUGCAAAAAAAUGUUUGCGCGCCUGACGUUGUUAACACACACGACACACACUUCUCUUGAGAAAAGAUAGUAGCCUUCACGAGUGUCUUACUGUUUCAUUGCAGAGCCCCUCCUCUUGAUGACGACGCGUACACUGUCAGCUACUCUUUGCAGCGUCUCACUUAAAUUUUUCCCAAUAUCUUUGUAUCUCCAUUUCAGAUAAAUUGUUCUUUUUCCAAGGAUUGAGGAGAACAUGGUCGUGCUUCAAGUGAAGCCACUGCAGCCACUCCCUGACAAGUCUUCCACACUGACAGGCCCACUGGAAGCUGUCAGUCUGCUGCGGCACGUGGCAAGAACUAAACGUUGAGGAACACACAUUGUCCCUUCACCAGUCAGCAGGUCUGGGCGGCUCGGAAGUCUCACUACAAACUGGAGACCCGUUCACUUGAAGGACACAUUUGGAGUCGGACACAAGAUCCAAGAGGGAGUCAUUUUAAACGAGAGCUUCAGGCAGAAAAUUCGGGUGGAUUUUCGGCUCAAAAAAUGUCUUAAUUUUUUGGGAUAUUUUGAAUCCUUCUUUAUCUUGAAAAAUAACUACAGAUAUUAUAUGAUUCUAGCUGGAAGUUGACCUGAGCAAUGUAGGGUUUGCUGCAGUGAAAUUACCAAGGCACAAGUGUCCGGGAUUUAAAGAAGAUGAUGGUGGAAAUGUGUCCUGUCUGCUGCUGUGCUGGGAGAAGGAGAGGAACAGGAGAGGAACAGCAGCUGUGGUGGGGCUCUGCUGCUGCUGUCACUGGUGCAGCUGUUCACUCCUGCAGCUGUCUUCCCUCACCUGCAAUGAACAACUAUGAACAAUUCUUCUGCGAUGAAGAACAGUGAUAACACCUGCUUCAUUUCAUAUGGAUGUAACUCUCUCUCUCUCUCUCUCUCUCUCUCUCUCUCUCUCUCUCUCUCUCUCUCUCUCUCUCUCUCUCUCUAUCACCCGCUAUCACCUCAAACGCAGGCUGUGGUAGAGGCAUCCCCUGAGUUACCAACUAGGGAUUUUUUAAACAAACAUUUUCGUAAGCCAGACCUGCAAAAAAGAUGCCGUGAAUUGGGUCUUGCAAAUGUUUGGACAAGUAGCAAAAGCCAACUCAUUGAUAUGAUCAUUGAAAAGUCACGGCCACCUUCUAACGAUAUCGUGAAUGAUGAAGUGCACACACCACCCUCACCCAGCCACUCACCGCCUGCACCCCAUCGGACUAGACAGAGUCUUCCCUCUGACACCCCUCAGCAGGUUAACCUAGACCAUGGCGGGCUGGACAUACCCGAUAUCAGUAGAAAAAUCGAGAUAAUUAUGACCAAGCUAGAAAUUAAAGAUACUGAAAUUGACUUGCUGAAUACUGAAAUAAAAACUGCAUACCACACGAUCCAACAACUCCAGAACCGUAUCGCUGAGUUGGAACAGCAUCACUGUGGUAGUGAAGCACGUCAUCCCACACCAGGAACACGCUCUACACCUAACAACUGCCUCCUCCUUGGAGAUACGAAUUUACGAGCAAUUAUACGUUCCGAUCUCUAAAAUAAUUGCCAGAUAAGGACCAUCUUCGAAGCAAAUAUGGAUUUACUAAGAUGCUGGAUAAAUGAAAAAUUAAGUAAUAUUCCAUCUCAGUGUAUAUUAUACAACGGAAUCACAGAUAUACUUGAAGAGAAAUCACCACCAACAAUACUGAACAACUUAAGUUUGCUGAUUGCUGAAUUGAAGGAGAGAAACAAUGAAAUGAAAGUACAUGUCUGUCAGAUUGUGUCCCCUCCUGGUUCACAUGAAAUACAGGCAAAAGUACAAGAUUAUAAUGAACAACUACUUAAGUGGGGUGAAGCCAACAGCAUAAACAUAAUCAGAACGGCUCCUUCUUUUACACUGAGCACAGGUGAGAUAGAUGAUUUCUGUUUCGAGACGAAAAUCAGUCCAUAUCCCACGCUAAAUAGACUGGGAGCAGUCAAGUUGCUCAAUACCAUUAAAAGGGAAUGUCCAGACUUCCAUAUCUGCAAUAACUGGGAGGAAAUCAAGAAAAGUAUAAAUACACAAACUCCACAACGCAAUGCAAGAAAUACGAGUAGAUACAUGG
Scylla paramamosain (green mud crab) is the source of this 2560-nucleotide long non-coding RNA. RefSeq lists it as uncharacterized. The transcript has 3 exons. Lineage: Eukaryota; Metazoa; Arthropoda; Malacostraca; Decapoda; Portunidae. The record is from RefSeq and is a predicted model, not a curated record.